RNAcentral lists this ribosomal RNA (305 nucleotides) under uncultured bacterium. RNAcentral describes it as "bacterial SSU rRNA". It matches the Rfam family "Bacterial small subunit ribosomal RNA", at positions 334 to 655 of the family's 1533-position model. The record is from RNAcentral.
UGGGCCUACGGGAGGCAGCAGUGGGGGAUAUUGCACAAUGGAGGAAACUCUGAUGCAGCGACGCCGCGUGAGGGAAGACGGUCUUCGGAUUGUAAACUUCUGUUCUUAGUGAAGAAAAAUGACGGUAGCUAAGGAGCAAGCCACGGCUAACUACGUGCCAGCAGCCGCGGUAAUACGUAGGUGGCAAGCGUUGUCCGGAAUUACUGGGUGUAAAGGGAGCGCAGGCGGGAAGCCAAGUCAGCUGUGAAAACUACGGGCUUAACUUGUAGACUGCAGUUGAAACUGGUUUUCUUGAGUGAAGUAGA